Molecule: ribosomal RNA, 906 nt
Filed under: Triticum aestivum (bread wheat)
Lineage: Eukaryota; Viridiplantae; Streptophyta; Magnoliopsida; Poales; Poaceae
Description: partial small subunit ribosomal RNA
Source: RNAcentral
AUGACAUACCAAGUACCCAUCAUAAACUCUCAUCUCUUGCAUUACAUUAUUCGCCAUUCGCCUCUCGUUUUCCUCUCCCCCACUUCUAAAACAAUUUUCGAAAAGAUUUGCCUUUUCUUCGCCCCUCUUCCGUUCAUCUUCUUUGUUUGCUUUUUUUGUGCCCAUGGGUUGGUGUGUCUGCUUGUCUUUAUGGCUCAACCUAAGAACGUUGAUCCUCACUUUAGGAGGUUGGAAGAAAUUGAAAAUAAUGUUAGGAUCUUCAUGUCUUUACAAUUUGAGCAUAACAGUUUCUUUAGAAACAAGCUUAAGGAACAAAAAAGUUCUAUGGAGUACAUGAAUAAAGAGCUCGAUGAUAUGUCUAAGGAAUUUUAUGGUUUGAAAUCUCAGAUUGCUCAUCUUGAAAAUUUAGUAGGCCAAAUUUCUGAUAAACAAACUACCUUAGUAAAUAAGAUGGCCGCUAAACCAGAGUCUUUAAAUAAUGAUGAAGAUCUUAAAGUGAUUGAUGUGACUCCUAUUGAAUCUUUGUUUUCCAAUAUAAAUCUUGAUAAAGAUGGGACUGGAGAUGAGUCAACUUUAGUUAAAAGGUGUCCCAAUAAUUCGAAGUUUUUAGAUCUUGAUGCAAAAAUUGAUAAAAGUGGGAUUGGAGAGGUCAAAACUUUAAGUAGCAAUGAACCCACUUUUUUGGAUUUCAAGGAAUUUAAUUAUGAUAAUUGUUAUUUAAUAGAUUGUAUUUCCUUAUUGCAAUCCAUGUUGAAUUCUCGUCAUGCUUAUAAUCAAAAUAAAGCUUUUACUAAACAUAUCGUUGAUGCUAUGAUGCAAUCUUUUGAAGAAAAGCUUGAAUUGGAAGUUUCUAUCCCUAGAAAACUUUAUGAUGUGUGGGAACCUACUAUUAAGAUUAAGAUGUAA